RNAcentral lists this long non-coding RNA (788 nucleotides) under Monodelphis domestica (gray short-tailed opossum). Its description in RNAcentral is "lncRNA (ENSMODG00000043743.1)". The record is from RNAcentral. Lineage: Eukaryota; Metazoa; Chordata; Mammalia; Didelphimorphia; Didelphidae.
CUGAAUAAAGCUAAAUCUGUGUCUAAAAGUGUGUGUCUGAGAGAAAAGACCCCUAUCCUUGUCAGGCUUAUUAGAUUAACCCACUGUGCUCAGAGCUAUUUCCAUUUGUCUCAUCUGUUCAUUUCCAAUGAUAAGAAUAUACUUUAAUAGCUCCAAAGGCUUAGAUCAUAAUGGGCUAUAGAUUCGACAGAAUCUGGAAUGCAAAUGACUGAUGAAUUGUUUAGGGUCAGGAGCAAGAAUGUUAUUUAAGGAGUGGUGGAAAAGUCUGUGUGGGAUUUAAGGACAUAUUCAUGUAAGAUAUCAUGAUUGCAACUCCUGCCUUCUUUCUAUCAGUUGAGGACCAGAAAUGCCUCCAUCCUUUAAUUCUGACCUUGUGUGUGUCUACCCACCUCAUGUGUGUUUCUUGAAGACAACAUAUGGUAGGGUUUUGGAUUCUAAUCCAUUCUGCUAUUCAUCUACGUUUUAUGGAGACAAGACUGGAGCAUUUUCUUCUACCUGAAGUCAUUCCUGAUCCCUUCAAUUGUUAGUUACUUCCUUAUCAAGCUGAUUCCAGAUGUUUCAUCUGUAAAGGGACUAUCCACAUCCUGAGAAUGUCUGCAUUAAUGAAGACACAGGUUUAGACCACAACAAACAAUCUCUCAUUUUCUUUCCUGAGCUUCAUGAUUGGUGAGGACGCCAUUUCUCAUGUAAAUUUCCAGUCUCCACCAAAGCCUAAAAGUGGAGGCUGCUCCUAAUAGACAGUACUGGCGAAUGAUCGUUGAAAUAAACAGAAUCAAAUUGAAUGGAAU